GAGUUUGAUCGUGGCUCAGGAUGAACGCUGGCGGCGUGCCUAAUACAUGCAAGUCGAACGAACAGAUAAGGAGCUUGCUCCUUUGACGUUAGCGGCGGACGGGUGAGUAACACGUGGGUAACCUACCUAUAAGACUGGAAUAACUCCGGGAAACCGGGGCUAAUGCCGGAUAACAUGUUGAACCGCAUGGUUCUACAGUGAAAGACGGUCUUGCUGUCACUUAUAGAUGGACCCGCGCCGUAUUAGCUAGUUGGUGGGGUAACGGCCUACCAAGGCGACGAUACGUAGCCGACCUGAGAGGGUGAUCGGCCACACUGGAACUGAGACACGGUCCAGACUCCUACGGGAGGCAGCAGUAGGGAAUCUUCCGCAAUGGGCGAAAGCCUGACGGAGCAACGCCGCGUGAGUGAUGAAGGUCUUCGGAUCGUAAAGCUCUGUUGUUAGGGAAGAACAAUGUGUAAGUAACUGUGCAUAUCUUGACGGUACCUAACCAGAAAGCCACGGCUAACUACGUGCCAGCCGCCGCGGUAACUACCG
This 537-nucleotide ribosomal RNA is filed under the name uncultured microorganism. RNAcentral describes it as "bacterial SSU rRNA". It matches the Rfam family "Bacterial small subunit ribosomal RNA", at positions 9 to 527 of the family's 1533-position model. The record is from RNAcentral.